RNAcentral lists this ribosomal RNA (253 nucleotides) under uncultured bacterium. RNAcentral describes it as "partial 16S ribosomal RNA". It matches the Rfam family "Bacterial small subunit ribosomal RNA", at positions 524 to 776 of the family's 1533-position model. The record is from RNAcentral.
GACGAACCGUGCGAACGUUGUUCGGAAUCACUGGGCUUAAAGGGCGCGUAGGCGGGCAGGCAAGUCAGGGGUGAAAGCCCACGGCUCAACCGUGGAAGCGCCUUUGAUACUGCCGGUCUCGAGGGAGGUAGGGGCGUGCGGAACUUCCGGUGGAGCGGUGAAAUGCGUAGAGAUCGGAAAGAACACCAACGGCGAAAGCACUCUGCUGGGCCGACACUGACACUGAGAGACGAAAGCUAGGGGAGCGAAUGGG